GUUGAAACACCGAUCCUCUUACAAUCACCGAAGUGAAGCAGCAUCGAGCCUGAUCAGUACCUAGAUGGGUAACUGCUUGGGAAUAUCAGGUACUGUAA
Molecule: non-coding RNA, 98 nt
Organism: Acanthosepion pharaonis
Lineage: Eukaryota; Metazoa; Mollusca; Cephalopoda; Sepiida; Sepiidae
Source: the annotation of a GenBank genome assembly